CAAUGACUCAUUAAUUGCCUGUAACACCCAGUGCUCAUCACGUCACAUGCCCCCUGUCAUGCCCAUCAUCCA
Long non-coding RNA from Lutra lutra (Eurasian river otter), 72 nucleotides. RefSeq lists it as uncharacterized. The transcript is spliced from 3 exons. The record is from RefSeq and is a predicted model, not a curated record. Lineage: Eukaryota; Metazoa; Chordata; Mammalia; Carnivora; Mustelidae.